Molecule: ribosomal RNA, 508 nt
Filed under: uncultured Salimicrobium sp.
Lineage: Bacteria; Bacillati; Bacillota; Bacilli; Caryophanales; Bacillaceae
Description: bacterial SSU rRNA
Rfam family: Bacterial small subunit ribosomal RNA
Source: RNAcentral
AUGAAGGCCUUCGGGUCGUAAAGUUCUGUUGUGAGGGAAGAACAAGGAUCGUGCGAACAGAACGGUCCCUUGACGGUACCUCACGAGGAAGCCCCGGCUAACUACGUGCCAGCAGCCGCGGUAAUACGUAGGGGGCAAGCGUUGUCCGGAAUUAUUGGGCGUAAAGGGCACGCAGGCGGUUCCUUAAGUCUGAUGUGAAAGCCCGUGGCUCAACCACGGAGGGCCAUUGGAAACUGGGGAACUUGAGAACUGAAGAGGAGAGUGGAAUUCCACGUGUAGCGGUGAAAUGCGUAGAUAUGUGGAGGAACACCAGUGGCGAAGGCGACUCUCUGGUCGGUUUCUGACGCUGAGGUGCGAAAGCGUGGGUAGCAAACAGGAUUAGAUACCCUGGUAGUCCACGCCGUAAACGAUGAGUGCUAGGUGUUAGGGGGCUUCCACCCCUUAGUGCUGAAGUUAACGCAUUAAGCACUCCGCCUGGGGAGUACGGCCGCAAGGCUGAAACUCAAAG